GAACGGGUGAGUAAUAUAUCGGAACGUACCCGGCAAUGGGGGAUAGCUCGGCGAAAGCCGGAUUAAUACCGCAUAUGCCCUGAGGGGGAAAGUGGGGGACCGUAAGGCCUCACGUUGUCGGAGCGGCCGAUAUCAGAUUAGCUAGUUGGUGGGGUAAAGGCCUACCAAGGCGACGAUCUGUAGCGGGUCUGAGAGGAUGAUCCGCCACACUGGGACUGAGACACGGCCCAGACUCCUACGGGAGGCAGCAGUGGGGAAUUUUGGACAAUGGGGGAAACCCUGAUCCAGCCAUGCCGCGUGAGUGAAGAAGGCCUUCGGGUUGUAAAGCUCUUUCGGACGGAAAGAAAUCCUAUUCACUAAUACUGAGUGGGGAUGACGGUACCGUAAGAAGAAGCGCCGGCUAA
RNAcentral lists this ribosomal RNA (404 nucleotides) under uncultured bacterium. RNAcentral's name for it is "bacterial SSU rRNA". It matches the Rfam family "Bacterial small subunit ribosomal RNA", at positions 100 to 500 of the family's 1533-position model. The record is from RNAcentral.